GAUGAACGCUGGCGGCGUGCCUAAUACAUGCAAGUCGAGCGAACAGACGAGGAGUUUGUUCCUCUGACGUUAGCGGCGGACGGGUGAGUAACACGUGGAUCACCUCCUUAUAAUACUGGGAUAUCUUCGGGAAACCGGAGCUAAUCCCGGAUAAUAUCUUGAACCGCAUGGUUCAUUAGUGAAAGCCGGUUUUGCUGUCACUUAUAGAUGGUUCCGCGCCGUAUGAGCUAGUUGGUAAGGUAACGGCUUAUCAAGGCAACCAUGCGUAGCCGACGGGAGGGGGGGGUCGGCGACACGGGAGCGGAGACAGGGUCCAGGCUCCUACGGGAGGCAGCAGUAGGGAAUCGUCCGCAGUAGGCGGAAGCAUGACGGAGCAGCGCGACGUGAGUGAUGAAGAUCUUGGGAUCGUAAUACUCUGUUAUUAGUGGAAAACAAAUGUGUAAGGAACUAAGCACGUCUUGACGGUACCUAAUCAGAAAGCCACGGCUAACUACGUG
This 497-nucleotide ribosomal RNA is filed under the name uncultured bacterium. RNAcentral describes it as "partial 16S ribosomal RNA". It matches the Rfam family "Bacterial small subunit ribosomal RNA", at positions 28 to 507 of the family's 1533-position model. The record is from RNAcentral.